UUUGGGGAGAAAAAAUUCCUUCACAAAUGUGUUGAUGGCUGGACAUUGCAUCAUCCUAGAAAACUUGGAGGCCAGUGAGGACAAAAAUAAAAAGUUAUAAGACUUUUAAAAAUGUGGAUAUUUGGGUCCUCUUUGGCGCCCCCUAGAACGUAAACUGUGGGGUGCAGCGUCAUGAUUUGUACAACUUUGAAUGGCCAUGGGGUGUAGAUUGACCUGAGCAAAUUUGAAGCCGAUGGGACAAAAGAUUUAGGAGGAGUUAGCGAAAUUCCAAUGUGUGCGGAUCGGCAAAAAAUGCGAAAUAACCCUUUAACCGUACAUUUGACAGAUACGCCCGCACUGACUUUUUUGUAGAUCUUAUUGAGAUACAUGUGUGUGUCAAAUUUUGUGUCAUUUUGACAAAGCGUAAAGGCGUGACAGUCAACAAUGUGUAUUUUGGCCUUAGGAGACAAGAAAAAAUGGACUUUUUUCUCCUGCCAUGGGGGGGGGGGCGCUCUUUUGGCGAGUAAAAAUUCCUUCACAAAUGUGUUGAUGGCUGGACAUUGCAUCAUCCUAGAGAACUUGGAGGCCAGUGAGGACAAAAAUAAAAAGUUAUAAGACUUUUAAGACUGUGGAUUUUUGGGUUAUCUUUGGCGCCCCCUAGAACGUAAACCGUGGGGUGCAGCGUCAUGAUUUGUACAACUUUUAAUGGCCAUGGGGUGUAGAUUGGCCUCAGCAAAUGUGGUGCCUUUGGAACGAAAGCCUUCGGAGGAGUUAGCAAAAUUCCAAUGUGUGCGGAUCGGCAAAAAAUGCAAAAUAACCCAUUAACCGUACAUUUGACAGAUACGCCCGCACUGACUUUUUUGUAGAUCUUAUUGAGAUACAUGUGUGUGUCAAUUUUUGUGUCAAUAUGACAAAGCGUACAGCCGUCAUGUGAAUUUUCACCUUAGGGGGCGCUAUGGAGCCAUUUUGCAUUUUAUUGUUUGGGCGACUUCAGAAUAUCGAAUUUUUCACCAGGCCCGGUCGUCCUGCCAAAUGUCCUGAGUUUUCGCCAGUGGGAAGUGGGCCAUUUUCCAGUUUGAAGCGGAGGAAAAAUAAUAACGAAAGAAGGAAACAUGCAGGAACAAGAGGGCUCUCGCAGCUGCUUAGCAGCUACGCUCGGGCCCUAAAGAAGAAUCCAUCAGGAAUAAUAGGGCUCUCGCAGCUGCUUAGCAGCUACGCUCGGGCCCUAAAAAGAAACAAAGAAAAACCACUUGGGGAAUAAUAGGGCUCUCGCAGCUGCUUAGCAGCUACGCUCGGGCCCUAACUAGGGCCCCGUUGGGGCACUGGCGGGCCCGAGCCGUGUCGCGCCGCCCCCAGCGCGACCGCCUACCCCUCCCGAUCGCGUCACACUCAAGGUCCAAAGAUGGUGUGCGCACUUGUCUGUGGUCAUUUACCAUUAUAAUGAAUGGGAGGCGCAGUUUCUACCAAAACGCUCGCUGCAGACAAACUCCAUGUCCUUUUUGAAAAAAGUCUGGACCAUGAGUGAGGGCACAAACACAGCUAGUAUAUAUCCAAAUGGCAAGUUGCUCCUCCUUUCCGUUUUGCCGAGAGAGCGAUGCGUUUGAGCCAUUGAGCGAUGGGCAGGAAAAACUUGACUUUUUCUCCUGCCAUGGGGGGGCGCUCUUUUGGGGAGAAAAAAUUCCUUCACAAAUGUGUUGAUGGCUGGACAUUGCAUCAUCCUAGAGAACUUGGAGGCCAGUGAGGACAAAAAUAAAAAGUUAUAAGACUUUUAAAAAUGUGGAUAUUUGGGUCCUCUUUGGCGCCCCCUAGAACGUAAACCGUGGGGUGCAGCGUCAUGAUUUGUACAACUUUGAAUGGCCAUGGGGUGUAGAUUGACCUGAGCAAAUUUGAAGCCGAUGGGACAAAAGCUUUAGGAGGAGUUAGUGAAAUUCCAAUGUGUGCGAAUCGGCAAAAAAUGCGAAAUAGCCCUUUAACCGUACAUUGAACAGAUACGCUCGCAUUGACUUUUUCGUAGAUCGUAUUGAGAUACAUGUGUAUGUCAAUUUUUGUGUCAUUUUGACAAAGCAUACAGGCGUGACAGUCAACAAUGUGUAUUUUCGCCUUAGGAGACAAGAAAAAAUUGACUUUUUUCUCCUGCCAUUGGGGGGCGCUCAUUUGGGGAGUAAAAAUUCCUUCACAAAUGUGUUGAUGGCUGGACAUUGCAUCAUCCUAGAGAACUUGGAGGCCAGUGAGGACAAAAAUAAAAAGUUAUAAGACUUUUAAGACUGUGGAUUUUUGGGUUAUCUUUGGCGCCCCCUAGAACGUAAACCGUGGGGUGCAGCGUCAUGAUUUGUACAACUUUUAAUGGCCAUGGGGUGUAGAUUGGCCUGAGCAAAUGUGGUGCCGUUGGAACGAAAGCCUUCGGAGGAGUUAGCGAAAUUCCAAUGUGUGCGGAUCGGCAAAAAAUGCGAAAUAACCCUUUAACCGUACAUUUGACAGAUACGCCCGCACUGACUUUUUUGUAGAUCUUAUUGAGAUACAUGUGUGUGUCAAUUUUUGUGUCAAUAUGACAAAGCGUAAAGGCGUGACAGUCAAUAGUGUGAAUUUUCACCUUAGGGGGCGCUAUGGAGCCAUUUUGCAUUUUAUUGUUUGGGCGACUUCAGAAUAUCGAAUUUUUCACCAGGCCCGGUCGUCCUGCCAAAUUUCAUGAGUUUUCGCCAGUGGGAAGUGGGCCAUUUUCCAGUUUAAAGCGGAGGAAAAAUAAUAACUAGGGCCCCGUUGGGGCACUGGCGGGCCCGAGCCGUGUCGCGCCGCCCCCAGCGCGACCGCCUACCCCUCUUGAUCGCGUCACACUCAAGGUCCAAAGAUGGUGUGCGCACUUGUCUGUGGUCAUUUACCAUUAUAAUGAAUGGGAGGCGCAGUUUCUACCAAAACGCUCGCUGCAGACAAACUCCAUGUCCUUUUUGAAAAAAGUCUGGACCAUGAGCGAGGGCACAAACACAGCUAGUAUAUAUCCAAAUGGCAAGUUGCUCCUCCUUUCGGUUUUGCCGAGAGAGCGAUGCUUUUGAGCCAUUGAGCGAUGGGCAGGAAAAACUUGACUUUUUCUCCUGCCAUGGGGGGCGCUCUUUUGGGGAGAAAAAAUUCCUUCACAAAUGUGUUGAUGGCUGGACAUUGCAUCAUCCUAGAAAACUUGGAGGCCAGUGAGGACAAAAAUAAAAAGUUAUAAGACUUUUAAAAAUGUGGAUAUUUGGGUCGUCUUUGGCACCCCCUAGAACGUAAACCGUGGGGUGCAGCGUCAUGAUUUGUACAACUUUGAAUGGCCAUGGGGUGUAGAUUGACCUGAGCAAAUUUGAAGCCGAUGGGACAAAAGCUUUAGGAGGAGUUAGCCACAUUCCAAUGUGUGCGAAUCGGCAAAAAAUGCAAAAUAGCCCUUUAACCGUACAUUGAACAGAUACGCUCGCAUUGACUUUUUCGUAGAUCUUAUUGAGAUACAUGUGUGUGUCAAAUUUUGUGUCAUUUUGACAAAGCGUAAAGGCGUGACAAUCAACAAUGUGUAUUUUCGCCUUAGGAGACAAGAAAAAAUGGACUUUUUUCUCCUGCCAUGGGGGGCGCUCUUUUGGCGAGUAAAAAUUCCUUCACAAAUGUGUUGAUGGCUGGACAUUGCAUCAUCCUAGAGAACUUGGAGGCCAGUGAGGACAAAAAUAAAAAGUUAUAAGACUUUUAAGACUGUGGAUUUUUGGGUUAUCUUUGGCGCCCCCUAGAACGUAAACCGUGGGGUGCAGUGUCAUGAUUUGUACAACUUUUAAUGGCCAUGGGGUGUAGAUUGGCCUGAGCAAAUGUGGUGCCGUUGGAACGAAAGCCUUCAGAGGAGUUAGCGAAAUUCCAAUGUGUGCGGAUCGGCAAAAAAUGCGAAAUAACCCUUUAACCGUACAUGUGACAGAUACGCCCGCACUGACUUUUUUGUAGAUCUUAUUGAGAUACAUGUGUGUGUCAAAUUUUGUGUCAUUUUGACAAAGCGUAAAGGCGUGACAGUCAACGAUGUGUAUUUUCGCCUUAGGAGACAAGAAAAAAUGGACAUUUUUCUCCUGCCAUGGGGGGCGCUCUUUUGGCGAGUAAAAAUUCCUUCACAAAUGUGUUGAUGGCUGGACAUUGCAUCAUCCUAGAGAACUUGGAGGCCAGUGAGGACAAAAAUAAAAAGUUAUAAGACUUUUAAGACUGUGGAUUUUUGGGUUAUCUUUGGCGCCCCCUAGAACGUAAACCGUGGGGUGCAGCGUCAUGAUUUGUACAACUUUUAUUGGCCAUGGGGUGUAGAUUGGCCUGAGCAAAUGUGGUGCCGGUGGAAGGAAAACCUUCGGAGGAGUUAGCGAAAUUCCAAUGUGUGCGGAUCGGCAAAAAAUGCGAAAUAAACCUUUAACCGUACAUUUGACAGAUACGCCCGCACUGACUUUUUUGUAGAUCUUAUUGAGAUACACGUGUGUGUCAAAUUUUGUGUCAUUUUGACAAAGCGUACAGGUGUGACACUCAAUCAUGUGAAUUUUUCACCUUAGGGGGCGCUAUGGAGCCAUUUUGCAUUUGAUUGUUUGGGCGACUUCAGAAUAUCGAAUUUUUCACCAGGCCCGGUCGUCCUGCCAAAUUUCAUGACUUUUCACCAGUGGGAAGUGGGCCAUUUUCCAGUUCAAAGGGGCAGAAAAAUAAUAAGAAGAAGAAGAAGAAGAAAGAAGAAUCCAUCAGGAAUAAUAGGGCUCUCGCAGCUGCUUAGCAGCUACGCUCGGGCCCUAAUAAUAAUAAUAAUAACAAAAGAAGAAUCCAUCAGGAACAAGAGGGCUCUCGCAGCUGCUUAGCAGCUACGCUCGGGCCCUAAAAAGUUAUAAGACUUUUAAAUAUGUGGAUUUUAGGGUUAUCUUUGGCGCCCCCUAGAACCUAAACCGUGGGGUGCAGCGUCAUGAUUUGAAUAACUUUUAAUGGCCAUGGGGUGUAGAUUGGCCUGAGCAAAUGUGGUGCCGGUGGAACGAAAGCCUUCAAAAGGAGUUAGCGAAAUUCCAAUGUGUGCGAAUCUGCAAAAAAUGCGAAAUCACCCUUUAACCGUACAUUUUACAGAUACGUGGCCAUUGACUUUUUCGAAGAUCUUAUUGAAAGACACGUGUAUGUAAAAUUUUGUGUCAAUACGACAAAACAUACAGGCGUAGCACUCAACAAUGUGUAUUUUCACCUUAGUGGACAAGAAAAAAUGGACUUUUUUCUCCUGCCAUGGGGGGCGCUCUUUUGGCGAGUAAAAAUUCCUUCACAAAUGUGUUGAUGGCUGGACAUUGCAUCAUCCUAGAAAACUUGGAGGCCAGUUGGGACAAAAAUAAAAAGUUAUAAGACUUUUAAAUAUGUGGAUUUUACGGUUAUCUUUGGCGCCCCCUAGAACCUAAACCGUGGGGUGCAGCGUCAUGAUUUGAAUAACUUUUAAUGGCCAUGGGGUGUAGAUUGGCCUGAGAAAAUGUGGUGCCGGUGGAACGAAAGCCUUCGGAGGAGUUAGCGAAAUUCCAAUGUGUGCGGAUCGGCAAAAAAUGCGGAAUAACCUUUUAACCGUACAUUUGACAGAUACGUGCGCAUUGACUUUUUUGUAGAUCUUAUUGAGAUACAUGUGUGUGUCAAUUUUGGUGUCAUUUUGCCAAAGCGUACAGGUGUUACACUCAACAAUGUGUAUUUUCACCUUAGGGGACAAGAAAAAAUGGACUUUUUUCUCCUGCCAUGGGGGGGCGCUCUUUUGGGGAGUAAAAAUUCCUUCACAAAUGUGUUGAUGGCUGGACAUUGCAUCAUCCUAGAAAACUUGGAGGCCAGUGAGGGCAAAAAUAAAAAGUUAUAAGACUUUUAAAUAUGUGGAUCUUAGGGUUAUCUUUGGCGCCCCCUAGAACCUAAACCGUGGGGUGCAGCGUCAUGAUUUGAAUAACUUUUAAUGGCCAUGGGGUGUAGAUUGGCCUGAGCAAAUGUGGUGCCGGUGGAACGAAAGCCUUCGGAGGAGUUAGCGAAAUUCCAAUGUGUGCGGAUCUGCAAAAAAUGCGAAAUAACCCUUUAACCGUACAUUUGACAGAUACGCCCGCACUGACUUUUUUGUAGAUCUUAUUGAGAUACAUGUGUGUGUCAAUUUUUGUGUCAUUUUGACAAAGCGUACAGGCGUGACAGUCAAUAGUGUGAAUUUUCACCUUAGGGGGCGCUAUGGAGCCAUUUUGCAUUUUCUUGUUUGGGCGACUUCGGAAUAUCAAAUUUUUCACCAGGCCCGGUCGUCCUGCCAAAUUUCAUGAGUUUUCGCCAGUGGGAAGUGGGCCAUUUUCCAGUUCAAAGGGGAGGAAAAAUAAUAAUAAUAAUAAUAAUAACAAAAGAAGGAAACAUGCAGGAACAAGAGGGCUCUCGCAGCUGCUUAGCAGCUACGCUCGGGCCCUAAUAACAAAAGAAGGAAACUACAAGAACAAGAGGGCUCUCGCAGCUGCUUAGCAGCUACGCUCGGGCCCUAACUAGGACCCCGUUGGGGCACUGGCGUGCCCGAGCCGUGUCGCCCCCCCCCCCCCCCCCCCCCGCGCUGCCUCCCCGUCCCAUUUGUGUCCUCUGGCCAUCGCCCUCUCUGGUAACGCCCAUCACUGCAAAGACCCUUUUCCUUGAUCGGCGUUUGCUGUUCUUCCUGCCAGUGCGUGUUGCUUUCACUUACACUUGCCACAGCCAGCCUCGUGAGUGCCUAGCCUAUUCGAUAUCACUGUCACCUACACAGGACAGUCAUUACCUUUCUAUUAAUACUUUGUGUUUUAAUUUCACAUUAAUUUCCAUAUUGUAUAAACGACUGGAAAAAACUUGAGCCCCUGCCCCUGUAUAAUCAUGUGCAUGUCUCUGUUCUAGCUCCAAGGUGAAUCU
Non-coding RNA from Xyrichtys novacula (pearly razorfish), 6846 nucleotides. NCBI's taxonomy places the organism in Eukaryota, Metazoa, Chordata, Actinopteri, Labriformes, Labridae. The record is from the annotation of a GenBank genome assembly.